GACGAACGCUGGCGGCGUGCCUAAUACAUGCAAGUUGAGCGCUGAAGGCUGGUACUUGUACCAACUGGAUGAGCAGCGAACGGGUGAGUAACGCGUGGGGAAUCUGCCUUUGAGCGGGGGACAACAUUUGGUAACGAAUGCUAAUACCGCAUAAAAACUUUAAACACAAGUUUUAAGUUUGAAAGAUGCAAUUGCAUCACUCAAAGAUGAUCCCGCGUUGUAUUAGCUAGUUGGUGAGGUAAAGGCUCACAAAGGCGAUGUUACAUAGCCGACCUGAGAGGGUGAUCUGCCACAUUGGGACGGGGACACGGCCCAAACUCCUACGGGAGGCAGCAGUAGGGAAUCUUCGGCAAUGGACGAAAGUCUGACCGAGCAACGCCGCGUGAGUGAAGAAGGUUUUCGGAUCGUAAAACUCUGUUGGUAGAGAAGAACGUUGGUGAGAGUGGAAAGCUCAUCAAGUGACGGUAACUACACAGAAAGGGACGGCUAACUACGUG
This 497-nucleotide ribosomal RNA is filed under the name uncultured bacterium. RNAcentral describes it as "partial 16S ribosomal RNA". It matches the Rfam family "Bacterial small subunit ribosomal RNA", at positions 28 to 507 of the family's 1533-position model. The record is from RNAcentral.